Molecule: long non-coding RNA, 8354 nt
Filed under: Capsicum annuum
Lineage: Eukaryota; Viridiplantae; Streptophyta; Magnoliopsida; Solanales; Solanaceae
Description: long non-coding RNA (CANN_LNC010204)
Source: RNAcentral
AAAGUAAAUUGCACGGUAUUUUUCGUGGAAAAAUCUAGUUUACAAAGGGUAAAAAACAACGACCUUCACCCUUACAGGAUUCAACCAAACUUCACUAACACAAUGAACCUUUAACAAAGUUUAGAUUAUAACUCUUUCAAUUCUAGGAACUAAACUAUAAUCCCUAUAACUUCAACAAUAACCCUUGAAUGUUGAAACCCUUCUUCGAGUUGCCCUCAACUUAAAGUGUUUCAAUUUAAUAAGAACAAUACAUAAAAUUAGACUAAAAAACUGUAAAACACAAUCCUAUGAAACAUGUUCUAUAAUUUAGUUCUUUGUAUUGGUUGCACUUGGAUCUCCAGUCAAAACUCUCUCAAAUAUGAACUCCCUCUAUUUGAUUGUAAUUUGUCUUUGCUCUCAACAAAAGUGCAGAGUAGUCUUCGUAGAGGCUUUUGUGUAUUUAUAUCUUUGAGUCUUGUCUUCCUUCAAGAAGGCUUCUUGUUUUCCAAGGAAUCUCAUUCCUUUUUAGGGUCUUUUAAUAUGCCGACCAUACUUGAGAUCCUUUUCCAUAUAGGAUUCUUCUAUUUUAGGUAACCUUUUGCACGUUGGACUCUCAUCUUGGACAUGAAACACACUUCAAAACCUUCUGCAUUUGAGAUACUCGUUGUUCAAGUUGGAAUCUUCCUAAGUGGAACAAUUAGUAGGAACCUAUUUCUUGCAUAUGUUUCAUUUCUCUGUAAAUCAUAAAAAAUCUUAUUAAAUCUAUAAAUUCUCCUUUUUUGAUGAUAAUAACCCCCUACUUCUUCUGUGUUAUGUUCACCCUGUUUUAUAUCCAUUUUUUAGGCAAAGCAUCAAAAUUCUUUCUCAUCAACCAGCAAUUUGGUACCUAGCGAGACAUAUUGCAAGACUCAAAUCAAUAAAAUAUAACAAAUUUGUGUUUUAAUUUCAUAAUAGUAAAUAACAAGCCUCCCUUUUACUAAAAGGUGGGGGUGGGUAUAAGUGGAAUAGUCAAUAUAAACAAAUGUUUGGAGAAAUUGGGGUUAGGGGAUGUCGGCGGUGAGAGAUUUCGGGGAAGGAGCUCCGCUUCUUGGAGAAAUUAUGUGUUUGUCGUUGGAGGAGAGCACCACCGUCCCACCGCCAUAUCAAAAACUGAUAGUGAUAGUGAUCCCAAACAACGUUUAAUCUCUCUCGAUGUCUUCAGAGGCUUUACCAUCGCUGUAUUUACUUACUACUUUCCCCCUUAAUCACCUUUUAACAAAAAUACAUUAGCUAGAACUCUUGAUACAAAAUGAUAUGUCAACCUAAAAAAUUUGAUUGACUAUUGAAAUUAUAUUAGUGCAUAUAAAUUGAGAUGUGACAGAGGAAGACAUAAAGUAACAUAUAUUAUUUGAAAAUGAGAUAAAAGUAUUAUAAAUCACAAUAAUUAAGAACUUAAUAUAAAUGUACAUGUGUAAAAUAAUAUAAAAAAAUUUGAUUGACUGUCGAAAUUUUAUCUGUUCCACAUAGAUAAAGACAGAGAGAAUAUUCAUAUAUUAUUGAAAAAUUAUGUAAAAAACAUUGUAAAUCAAAUAAUUAAAAACUUAAAUUAUUUAAAAGAUAUAAAAUAUUUGUCCGACUCUCGAAAUUAUAUCAACAUCACUUAAAUUGAAACAAAAGAAAAUGAUAUCAUAAAUUACAAUAUUAAAAACUUAAAUUAUUUUAAUAAUUUAAAUAUUGAGAUAAAAAAAUAACAUAUAUUGCUAGCACGAGGCAUCAAUAGCUAGUUGAUUCGAAUAAAUUUUAAAACAAAAGUAUGGUAAUAAAAUUUUUACAUAAUGUUAUUUUAGUGACCCCCUAACUUGCCUAUGGAACAAGUUUAUUUAUUUGUUUCUUUACAAUAACUUGAUUUUAUAUAGAGUAAAGAAAGUAAAGUAAAUUGCACGGUAUUUUUCGUGGAAAAAUCUAGUUUACAAAGGGUAAAAAACAACGACCUUCACCCUUACAGGAUUCAACCAAACUUCACUAACACAAUGAACCUUUAACAAAGUUUAGAUUAUAACUCUUUCAAUUCUAGGAACUAAACUAUAAUCCCUAUAACUUCAACAAUAACCCUUGAAUGUUGAAACCCUUCUUCGAGUUGCCCUCAACUUAAAGUGUUUCAAUUUAAUAAGAACAAUACAUAAAAUUAGACUAAAAAACUGUAAAACACAAUCCUAUGAAACAUGUUCUAUAAUUUAGUUCUUUGUAUUGGUUGCACUUGGAUCUCCAGUCAAAACUCUCUCAAAUAUGAACUCCCUCUAUUUGAUUGUAAUUUGUCUUUGCUCUCAACAAAAGUGCAGAGUAGUCUUCGUAGAGGCUUUUGUGUAUUUAUAUCUUUGAGUCUUGUCUUCCUUCAAGAAGGCUUCUUGUUUUCCAAGGAAUCUCAUUCCUUUUUAGGGUCUUUUAAUAUGCCGACCAUACUUGAGAUCCUUUUCCAUAUAGGAUUCUUCUAUUUUAGGUAACCUUUUGCACGUUGGACUCUCAUCUUGGACAUGAAACACACUUCAAAACCUUCUGCAUUUGAGAUACUCGUUGUUCAAGUUGGAAUCUUCCUAAGUGGAACAAUUAGUAGGAACCUAUUUCUUGCAUAUGUUUCAUUUCUCUGUAAAUCAUAAAAAAUCUUAUUAAAUCUAUAAAUUCUCCUUUUUUGAUGAUAAUAACCCCCUACUUCUUCUGUGUUAUGUUCACCCUGUUUUAUAUCCAUUUUUUAGGCAAAGCAUCAAAAUUCUUUCUCAUCAACCAGCAAUUUGGUACCUAGCGAGACAUAUUGCAAGACUCAAAUCAAUAAAAUAUAACAAAUUUGUGUUUUAAUUUCAUAAUAGUAAAUAACAAGCCUCCCUUUUACUAAAAGGUGGGGGUGGGUAUAAGUGGAAUAGUCAAUAUAAACAAAUGUUUGGAGAAAUUGGGGUUAGGGGAUGUCGGCGGUGAGAGAUUUCGGGGAAGGAGCUCCGCUUCUUGGAGAAAUUAUGUGUUUGUCGUUGGAGGAGAGCACCACCGUCCCACCGCCAUAUCAAAAACUGAUAGUGAUAGUGAUCCCAAACAACGUUUAAUCUCUCUCGAUGUCUUCAGAGGCUUUACCAUCGCUGUAUUUACUUACUACUUUCCCCCUUUUUUCCCUUGUCAAUAACUCAUCAACCUUUUCUAUUGCUGGUGGAAAAUGUAAUUUUUGAUUCUUUCUUCCUUUCUUCCUAAACCUUAUGUAACAAUUGAUUUCCAAUAGGUCUAUCACAUAUAUAAACACUUACAAGUCAAGAACUCAUUUAGAUAUAUCAAAGUAUUUGCAAAUACAAGGAAAUAACACUUAACCCGUACCAAACACUUUCAUUGAUCAUAGAUAAAGUACACUACAAUAUGAAAUCAAAAAUUAAACACAAAACAAGGUACUAUAGAUGAAACUAAUGAAGGUUUGGAUUAGGUAAAAUAGGAAAUUUAGGCUGUUGGAAUAGCAGGAGCCUAGAAGAGGAGUGGGAUCUUUCUUAAGAAGCUCAAAAAGGUCCUUUAGGUUGGACGAAUUUGUAGCCCUCUCUUUGUCCAGUUCAACCUUGAGCCUUGUAUUUUCUUCCUUUUAACCUACCUUCUCAAGGCCAUAUUAGAUUUGGAGCAGGUCCAAAGCAUCUUGAUUUAAGGCACGAAUAACUGGAAUUUCAGUAUUCUUUUUGCUGAUAUGGCCUUUAAUCGCUGUAAAGGUGCAUUGACUCCUCUUUGAGGAGCUAGUAUAUCAAUCUUGUUUACUACACCAAUUACAUGUUUAGUGGUUUGAUGAUGUCGAUUCUUAACCGGUACCCUCAAGUGUUCAAAAAUAUACCCCAACCAAAACCCAUAGCCUAAUGCAUGCUUAGUCUUGUUCUUUUUGUAAUUUUGAGCAUAUGACACAACAUUAACUUAGGCAAAUUGAUAGGGACUCGAGAAACAAGCAACUCCAAUCCAUAUAGUUAGCCUCAUGUGCUUAUAGUUCUUAGAAAGAAGUAUUUUAUGCUACACACCAACAAUAACUUGUGCAAAGAAAGCAUAACACCUUUGUCCACCCUGUCAUGCUCAUCCAAAUUUGGGUCAUCAAUAAACUUUCUAGCAAUGUCCAAAGUUAAGGUAAAAUAAUCCAAUGGAGGCCAAUUUUUUUUUCAAAUAAUGCCACCAACCAUCAGUUGGAACACCCAAUACUUGAGCAAGAAAGUCUGGGAUAAAGGUGAUAGGAACAUCCCUAACCGUACUAGAUAUAGAGGUUAAGGAACCUGUGACAUUGAUGUAGAACUCUCUAUAUCCUUCUUACCUAUUUUUAUUUUCUUUUUUACUUGAAGGUAAAGAUAUGAAAACCUUGUGCUUGAAUGAGAAGGAUCAAUUUAGUCAUCUCAACUCUACCAAACCCAAUAAUCACUCUCCCCUAAUGACAAUUCUUUUUCCAAAAUUGACAAUCUUAACCGUUUUAGAAGAAUGAAUAUCUUCCACAUCCACAUAGGACUAAAUAUCAUCCUCAGUAUCACCUAAAAAAUCUUCUUAAUCAAUUUCAUUCUCCCUAAGAGAUUCAUAUGAAGAUCCUUCUCAUCAGUAUCCUCACUAUUAAUGGGUUUUUUAACCAGCAUAUGGACAUGUUGCUUGACCCAUUUUUGAGUGGUUUUGAAGAUGUAACACGUUUACCCUUUCUUUUUUAGCAGCCUCCACCUCAUCAUUUAGAAUUUCAAUGGGAGCAACUGGAGGAACAAAUUUCCCUUUGUUAGAAAGAAUUUUUUGGACAAACAUAGCGACCAAGCCCUCAUCAAGUGCUCUUUUUUCACUCUCAGUUAUUUGAACAGGAAUAACUUGAGAGGGUGAAGCUGAUCGUUAUCAAUUAGUUAAUUAAAAGGAAUGACCACAUGUUUUCUAGUGGCCUUUCUUAGACAUGAUCUUACACCAACCAAUUUGGCUAUGCGAAUAUCCUUCUUUUCAUCAACAAUUAUAGAGGAACGGGUUGUAUUAAUAUGUUUCUUAUAGGUGGUACUAUUAGUUUCAUACCCAGUAGCUGCAUCUUUAGAUAACAAACCUAGUUUCUUAUCUACAUUGAUCCCAAUAGAAGAACUUGAUUUUAUUGAAGGGUCAUGUAAUACCUCAAAUUUCUAGUCCUUGAAAAUUUUUAAAAUUUUAUCCUCACUGUCAGACUACGACUCUCCUUACAAGUCGUAGGAAGUUUUGACUAGUCUUAAGGACCCAAUCGUAGAAUGACCAAUAGGUAGGGCUGGAUUUUCUGCUAUGACUAUGACUAGGACCGCACGAGUUGUAAGGUCCCAUAAUGAGUUGUUAAGUGUUAGUCGUAAGGUGAUUAAUGUAUGCCUCAAAAGUUUCUGUCUUGAUGAUGGGUGGUGCAUGCGAGUCAUAGGGAAUAGUUAUGAGUCAUAAGGUAUGACUCAUAGCCAGAUCAGUGGGGGUGCCCUGGGGUACUGUAUUGACUGACUCGAAGAGGUGAAUCAUAAGGAGUCAUAAUGAGUUAUUAGAAGACCCAUAGCGACUGGGUAAUAUUUUUUUGGUGUUUUAAUUAAGGGCAUUAUGUUCAAUUCCCCUUCUCCCUUACUUAGACCCCACGACCAUAAAGCACUUUAAGGAUUAUUUUUGAUUCAUAACACAAUAAAAAACACUUUCUUCUCUCUAAACUUUCUAAGUUCAAGAUACUUAGGAUUUUUAAAAAGUAGUUCAUUCAAGGGUUCAAGGGCUGAUUUCUCUGCAUCAACUUGGAUAUUUUAGGCAUGUUACUUUUCCUCAAUUAUUACUUUACAAAAAACAUGUAUUUAAAUAGUUUAAUUGGAUGGUUUUGCAUAUGGUUUUGAUAUGGUUGAGGGUUUUGACAUGGAUGGUUCUCAAAUUAUUUUACUAUGAUUUAUUAUGCAUUGUUUAUUCUUUGUUAAUGGUUUUGAACUUGUGGGGCGCAUGCGUAUGGUGAAUAAACAAAGGGGUCAUGGUUUUCCCUAAAUUGAUGUUUUGAAAUUGAAAUUGAUUUUGAAUAAUUGUGUACCCUCAACCCACCUAUGUAAUUGGCUUUGAAUUGUGAAAUUAUCAAUAAGUUUGACUUAAUCACCUAUGUUAUAGCAUUAAAUGAAUAGUUAAACAAAGAACAUAGAUUUUGAAGGCCUUGUUGGCUAUGAUAUGAUUUAAUGAAUAAAGGGGGUCGAGAUAUUCCCCCAAGAUAAUCUGAUUAUUAUGGCAUAGAGGUAAGCUUGCUAGUAUAAGGGUAUGAAGAUGCCCAUGGUGUGCCUUAAUAGUUGGUUCAUUGAUUAAUAAAUGGGUUAUGUGAAACUUGCUUUAAAUUAGGCUUAAUAGGGGUUAUGUAACGAAGACAUAAAGGUGUGGGUCUUGGAUGAAUUGUACUAAAAACUUAUGUUUGCCGACAUGAGAUUUGGUCUUGAUGACCUGUGUGCAUAGUUUACACUAUUGAUAUAUUUGCAUCUUAGACUGAUGUCGGGAUGGGGCAUUUCCUGGUAUUCCUUGAUACCUUUAGUUUGUGUGGCUAACAUGCACUAGGGCCCUUUCAGCAGGGAAAGCUGAACCCAUAUAGCCCGUGGGUGCUUGCUUAUGAUGGUUGAGCUACAUAGUCCAGGAUAAAGUUUUUACUUUAUGCUAAGCCUCAUUCCUUUUCCUGGCAUGAUAUAUUUAUAUGUAUAUGGGAUUAUGCACAUUGGUUUGAAUGGUUUUUGAAAUAUGGAUCAUGGCAUUAUUUUAUCCCCUAUCCCUGAGUUAUAUGCUAGUGCUCAACCCACUAAUCAUCUCCAAAUGCUGUAUCUUCAUCGAUGCAGACACCAGAUAUACUUCUACUUUUCUUAUGUAGUAUUAGGUGGAUCGGCUUGGUUCAUCAGUCGUUAGUGGUGAAGCAGUGAGCUUUUAUUCUCUGGAUGACUUGGCCAUUUCAUUAGUUUUAUUUCAUAGACUAGAAUUGAAAAGUUCAUAUUAACAUUAUCAUUAUUAGAGUUGGGGUCAUGUCUAGACACUUUAUUGAUUUCGGUUUUGUUAGAAGGCUUUAUGAAUUACUAUGGACUUGCGUGAUGUUGGUUGGUUGUUUUUGGUCUACUAUAUCUUGUUUUGAUAAUGAUCAGCUGACAACAAGGGACUAGGCCAUUGGUUCUUCAUGGAAACAUACAGUUGUCACAAGGCCUAUAUAGUUUUGUCAUCUAGUGUAACAAACAGCGCAGGUGAGAUGUAUACUAGUUGAUAAUGCUCAAAUUACACUCUUGAAUGGGUGUAAGCGAUCGUUGUCAAUAUAAAACCCAACUAGGUUAGGGUCGAAUCUCACAGGGAAUAAGGUGUGAACUUCAAUUUGUUUAUAAAAUACUUUACUGGUAGUUUACUAUUUCCGAAAAUAGGGGUUUAAAUUUCACAGAGAGUCAAUUGUCACUUUCAAUGAUUUAGUGUUGUAAUCAAUAUAAAUGAGAAACUAGAGUUAUGUUCACCAUGGGUAUUGGGAGUUAACAAAUAUUAGGUAAUGCUUGGGAUUCUUGGAGUAAGUAGAAACAACAGAAUAUCCCUGACUAUGAUACUGUCUAACUUAUCUCUCGACCUCACUAGAUAAUUUAUUAUCUAAUUCUCUCAAACUUAGAUAACUUAUCUAUUUCCAAUAGGAUGUUAUCUUAGGAAGAUUAAUCCAAUUACGGCAUCAAUCAUUAAACAGAAGGUUGGUAGCUUUCGAGUCCCUGUUGAUUAUUCACGUCCUCUAGUCUAUUUCUCCAUUUGAAGCAAAUAUACCUAAGGCAUAAUUUAAUGUUUGAAACCAACAGAUUUCAGUCAAAACAACAGAAUUUCAAGAUGUCCUACUACCCUUUGAAUCCGUUAAAUGCCUAGUAACCUAUCAGACCCUAAUCCAUGGAUCCCAAAACUCUGGCUAAUGGAAUUAGCCACUCAUGAUUUGAUGAACGAAAUAACAAGUUGAAUUCAUCAUAAUAAGGAUAAACUUAUAAAUGGAUGAAAAACAACAAAAAGUUUCUUCAAUUUACUCACGAGAUAAAAACCCAAAAAUAGUUGAUAAGUGCUUUUUUAAAGAAACAAGAAAAAUAUUUGAUAGUAAAGAUGAAGCAAUGUUACGUACUUCUCUUCAGAAGUUCUUCUCUGAUAAUUAAUGAUCGAUCCCUAAAAAAAAACCUAAAACAAGUCUUUAAAUAGUCAACCCUAAAUAAGAAAAUAAAAUUAAAGUUUCAGUUUUCUUUUUAGAUUGGACGGCGACGAUCUUGACGGCAUGUCAGAUGUUUGAUGAUAUGUGCGAGAUGUUAUCAAAGGUUCCAGUGAAUUGUUAUCUUUUGAAUCUUCAGACGACAAACCUGACGGCAUGUCAAAAUUCUUGACGGCGCGUCACAACUGCCGUCAUAAAUUCACUGGAAAUUAAUAUUCUCUGCUUCUAGUUGAUGGCG